GAUGAACGCUAGCGGCAGGCUUAACACAUGCAAGUCGAGGGGUAUAGUAGCAAUACUAGAGACCGGCGCACGGGUGCGUAACGCGUAUGCAAUCUACCUUUUACAGAGGGAUAGCCCAGAGAAAUUUGGAUUAAUACCUCAUAGCAUUGCGAAAUGGCAUCAUUUUGCAAUUAAAGUCACAACGGUAAAAGAUGAGCAUGCGUCCCAUUAGCUAGUUGGUAAGGUAACGCUUACCAAGGCAACGAUGGGUAGGGGUCCUGAGAGGGAGAUCCCCCACACUGGUACUGAGACACGGACCAGACUCCUACGGGAGGCAGCAGUGAGGAAUAUUGGACAAUGGGCGCAAGCCUGAUCCAGCCAUGCCGCGUGCAGGAUGACGGUCCUAUGGAUUGUAAACUGCUUUUGUACGAGAAGAAACACUCCGACAUGUCGGAGCUUGACGGUAUCGUAAGAAUAAGGAUCGGCUAACUCCGUGCCAGCAG
RNAcentral lists this ribosomal RNA (482 nucleotides) under uncultured bacterium. RNAcentral's name for it is "bacterial SSU rRNA". It matches the Rfam family "Bacterial small subunit ribosomal RNA", at positions 28 to 514 of the family's 1533-position model. The record is from RNAcentral.